CGGUGAAUGAGACUGGGACUUGUGUGCCUGCUGGAAGAACUGGUUGGAUGAGUCUGGAUUUUAAUGGCAUGGAGGACUUCAUUAGUUUCGUCCACCAGAAUAUAAAUGUGUGCCUAGCAUAACGUGUAGGAGUUCUUGUUGUAAACUGCGCGGCAAGGAUAACUUGAGUAUCGUUUUCCUAUCCCUGGCCUGACGUCAGUGCUGCAGAAUUCUAACCCAGUUACCCACGCCUGCAAAAAAGGGGAGGAGAAAAUGUGCAGCAAUAUGGUAAUUCGUGACUUCAACUGGUAGAUAAGUGACUGCAGGACAGGAAGAGUACGAAAUGUUUACGAAAAUAGUUGAUGGUUUUGUCAGAUAUUCGGUAGAUGCACUAAAAACUGCCUACUUUAAUUUAGAGGGCAAAGAUGUAGCGAAGAAGGAAAUACAAGAGCAACUUUAUAGGUUAUUAUAGUGGAGAUAUGAGGAGAGGUGAAUCAGAAUUCAUUAUAACGUAGAAUUCUGUGAAUCACUAUUCAUAUGACGACAGUGACGUUACGGGCUACUGAGAAUUUCAAUAUAAUUCUUUGUGUCGGCAUGAAUCAAUGUCACAUUAGACAGUCAGGAGACAAUUUUGACUAGAAACGUAAAUUUAUUUAAACCAUGGAAUUACUUGUUUUUCUGAGCAGGCAAGCCUUAGCUCCACUUCGUUUCAGUCCAAACACCUGUCGUGGUAGUGAUGCGCACACCUAGAAACGAUUGUCCUUAAUACUCAAAUUUGUCUUGAUGUUGGGAUAUAAAUAUUGUUAUAGAUAGGAAGCACAUUGAAGCAGAAAAAUGUUUAUUGUUUGUCUGUCUUAUGUUCUUAAACUGUUACUAAUCUCACGACUCUUGGAGCUUUUCUCUUCUGAAGUGGUUCACCCGAACCCUUCAACGAACAGCCGUGUGGCACUGACGCAAGGUUUUGAGUGACCUGAAAAAAAAAACACUCUACUCUGGCGGCUACGAGUGGCCCAUGAAACAAAGCACUCUGUCUGAAAGCACCACUGGUGAACUUCCAGUUCUGGUUAAAUUCACCACAUGAAGCUAAGUAUAAUUUGUCUUUCCCUCUCUAUGUACAAACAUGAGUCAUACUUUGUAUAUGUUGUUUUGUAUAUAUGAUGUAGAUGGUGUACAUUAUUUUAUAACGGCAAUAGUUAUAUAAUUGAUCUUGUUUUAUAUGUUGUAAUGUUGUACAUAAGUCAUGUGUAUGUCAACGAUAUUAAAAUUUACCAUGAACAUACCCACAAGGGCUGAAAGCUGUAUGCAUGGAUGAAGUCAGGGUAAGACUGAUGUAAAUAAGGACAAAAAAAGCUUUAAUAACGUGCUCAGAUAAGAAAAUGACUCCCCCCUGUCUUGUGUGGCAAUUUUGUGUGGCGAAAAGGAAUAUGAAGCGGACCACAAAGCCAGCGCAAAGGCACAGGGCUGCAGUGACACCAUGGACUGGGAAUGUGGCCUGGACGAUGAAGCCAUUAUGGAGAUAGACAGCUUCAGUGAGGAAAUGGACUGGGAAUGUUGCCUGGAUGGCGAGGACUUCAUGGAGACAGAAGGUUUCGGUGAUGAAAUGGAUUGGAUAUGAACUGGUCUGAAUUGCCCCUCCCUCCACUCCAUAUAUUGAUAAUCAGGAAAUGACUUCACUACUCUUCAGUCCACUGAGAAACUCUGCCAGGAAGGAAACAGAGAUAAGGUGGAGAAAAUGAAUGUGUCAGCCUCUAUCAGAGCUUUUCCUCAAGACUGACCUUUGUAAAGGAGAGAGAUCAUAGUAUUGCAGCCCUGGAUAUUUUUUUCUUACUUGGCUUGCGGUCAGGUAGGUCUGUCCCAGAAUGGAAGUUCUGGACCUUUGACUGGCUGUCAGCCUGGGGGCAGAAGAUACACCCCAUUGGUCUGGCUUGCCCUGAUUUUUCAGAAUGUGGAAUCACAUUUAUAGUGGACUGGAGGACAAAAUUCACCAUUUGCCUUUUACUAGGGCCAACAAGGGAUGCGUUUUUGGAUGACCGCCCGAGCCCACCAGGCCAGCAAACUGCAUCUAGACUUAAACUAAUGCAAUGAACUGAUGAAUAUUUCAAGCCAAUCCACUGUUUUCCAGGAGUCACUCGACCACAUUUUCACAGGGGUCAGGGAAUAAUUUUCCAGUUUUAUCCCCAACUAGCCAUGUGUUUUCUGGUUUUUUGAUUCC
This is a long non-coding RNA of Megalops cyprinoides (Indo-Pacific tarpon), 2191 nucleotides long. RefSeq lists it as uncharacterized. The record is from RefSeq and is a predicted model, not a curated record. The transcript has 6 exons. Lineage: Eukaryota; Metazoa; Chordata; Actinopteri; Elopiformes; Megalopidae.